RNAcentral lists this ribosomal RNA (253 nucleotides) under uncultured bacterium. RNAcentral describes it as "partial 16S ribosomal RNA". It matches the Rfam family "Bacterial small subunit ribosomal RNA", at positions 524 to 776 of the family's 1533-position model. The record is from RNAcentral.
UACAGAGGGGGCAAGCGUUGUUCGGAAUUACUGGGCGUAAAGGGCGCGUAGGCGGCCUUCUAAGUCGAACGUGAAAUCCCCGGGCUCAACCCGGGAACUGCGUCCGAUACUGGAAGGCUUGAAUCCGGGAGAGGGAUGUGGAAUUCCAGGUGUAGCGGUGAAAUGUGUAGAUAUCUGGAGGAACACCGGUGGCGAAGGCGACAUCCUGGACCGGUAUUGACGCUGAGGCGCGAAAGCCAGGGGAGCAAACGGG